GCUUACGGCCACACCUCCCUGAGCAACGCCGAUCUGUCUGAUCUCGGAAGCUAAGCAGGGUCGGGCCGGUUAGGACUUGGCUGGGAGACCGCCUGGGAAUACCAGGUGCUGUAAGCC
RNAcentral lists this ribosomal RNA (117 nucleotides) under Esox lucius (northern pike). Lineage: Eukaryota; Metazoa; Chordata; Actinopteri; Esociformes; Esocidae. The record is from RNAcentral.